GCUAAAAAGCUAGCUCUCACAUUAAAGUUAAACUUACAACAUUUCUAAUUUUACAUUACUCUAAUCCAAUUAACUAAACCAUUCUACUGCCAUAGUACGGGCGACGGAAAAGGCACUCACUGAAGCAAUAGACAAAGUACCGCAAGGGAAAGCUGAAAGAGAAAUGAAACAACCCAUCAAAGCCCAAAAAAGCAGAGCUUAAACCUCGUACCUUUUGCAUCAUGAUUUAGCUAGAAACCCUUGAGCAAAGAGACCUUUAGUUCAACACCCCCGAAACCAAGUGAGCUACCCCGAGACAGCCUAUGACAGGGCCAACCCGUCUCUGUGGCAAAAGAGUGGGAAGAUCUCCCGGUAGCGGUGACAAACCUACCGAAACCUGGUGAUAGCUGGUUGCCUAGGAAUUGGAUAGAAGUUCAGCCUCGUACUCCUCAACCCAAAUUUUAAGCCAUUGCUCAUUAACGAACCGAGAAAAAUACGAGAGUUAUUCAAAUGGGGUACAGCCCAUUUGAACAAGGAUACAACCUUUCCCAGGAGGUUAAGGAUUAUACUAACCAAGAUUACUGCUCCAGUGGGCCUAAAAGCAGCCACCUGUCAAGAAAGCGUUAAAGCUCAGGCAGACAAUAAAUCUAUUAUUCCCAUAAACUACUCCUAAACCCCUACCUAUACUAGGCCUUUCCAUGCUAACAUGGAAAUGACCCUGCUAAAAUGAGUAAUAAGAAGGCCCCCCCCCUUCUCCUAGCCCAUGUGUAAGUUAGAUCGGACCCUCCACUAACAAUUAACGACCCCAAUCUCAGCGGGAAAUGUGGUCUACAAAAAGACCAAGCAAAUACCACCAACAAACUUAAUCGUUAACCCCACACUGGCGGGCUAUAAUCUAAAGGAAAGACUAAAAGAAAAAGAAGGAACUCGGCAAACACAAGCCUCGCCUGUUUACCAAAAACAUCGCCUCCUGCAAAAAUCAAUGUAUAGGAGGUCCUGCCUGCCCAGUGACUUUAAGUUAAAUGGCCGCGGUAUUUUGACCGUGCUAAGGUAGCGCAAUCACUUGUCUUUUAAAUGAAGACCUGUAUGAAUGGCGAGACGAGGGCUUAACUGUCUCCUUUUUCUGGUCAAUGAAAUUGAUCUCCCCGUGCAGAAGCGGGCAUAAAAAUACAAGACGAGAAGACCCUUUGGAGCUUAAGACUAACGACCAACUGCAUCAAUACUUCCAACAAAAAGAAAUUUAAACUAAGCAUACCAAUGGUCUACGUCUUCGGUUGGGGCGACCGCGGGGGAAAAUAUAGCCCCCAUGUGGUACGGGCUUAAACCUUAAACCAAGAGAGACAUCUCUAAGUCUCAGAAUAUCUGACCAAAAGAUCCGGCCUAAGGCCGAUCAACGAACCAAGUUACCCUAGGGAUAACAGCGCAAUCCUUUCCAAGAGUCCAUAUCGACGAAAGGGUUUACGACCUCGAUGUUGGAUCAGGACAUCCUAAUGGUGCAGCCGCUAUUAAGGGUUCGUUUGUUCAACGAUUAAAGUCCUACGUGAUCUGAGUUCAGACCGGAGCAAUCCAGGUCAGUUUCUAUCUGUAAAGCUAUUUUUCCUAGUACGAAAGGACCGGAAAAACAAGGCCAAUACUUCAAGCACGCCUUAUUUCCACUUAAUGAAAUUAACUUAAUUAAACAAAGAAAAGCACAACCUCCUCCUAAGACAAUGGACU
Molecule: ribosomal RNA, 1695 nt
Filed under: Lebiasina multimaculata
Lineage: Eukaryota; Metazoa; Chordata; Actinopteri; Characiformes; Lebiasinidae
Also listed under: 1 other name
Description: 16S ribosomal RNA
Rfam family: Bacterial large subunit ribosomal RNA
Source: RNAcentral